CCUUGACUUCCUUCCCUCCUGCUUCUGACACCAGCUAGGAAUUGUGCUGGAGCUCAGGGCGAGAGCUGAAAAGCCAAAGGUCCUAGGCUCUGCAGAAGCAGGCAGUGGGCUGGAUUUAGCCCAGUGGUCCCCUUGCCCUAUGGAGUAGCCACUGUGAGUACCCAGAGUUCCCCAGUGAUGAAGAAACUGAGGCCUCCUAGGGUGACAAGAUGGAGAAUGACAGAGCACUGACUGACAGGUCUUGCUAAACUGCAGAGUUGCCCGGACUGGGCUCAAACUUGAGAUCGUCAUGCUUCAGCCUCCCAGAUUGCUGGAGUCAUAGGCUCAUAUCUGGAUAUUUUUUUUUUUGAUGGUUGUUGUUGGUCACUAUAUCCCUACA
Octodon degus (degu) is the source of this 379-nucleotide long non-coding RNA. RefSeq lists it as uncharacterized. Lineage: Eukaryota; Metazoa; Chordata; Mammalia; Rodentia; Octodontidae. The record is from RefSeq and is a predicted model, not a curated record. The transcript is spliced from 3 exons.